GGAAAAUUUUGACAAUUCAUUUUGACGUUACUUUGAAAUUAAAAAAGAAGAGUUGAUGGGUACUAAACGCAAAUGCUGUUUUUAACUGAAAUGACCUACAUUUCCAUUUUCUAAAUUGUGCAGAUAAUGGAUAAACAUACAUGUGGAUGUAGAAAAAAUUAUUUACUGCAUGGAAGAAUAAAUGAAGAAACUGAAAAUUUACGUAAAUAUUAUCCUGAAAGUGAUUCGUCCGGGGAAAUGAUUUGAAGGUGGUUUUCUGUUUCAUGGUAGAUGCCCUUGUAAUUAGUGAUCGUUGAAUAAAAAUACGUAUGAUAGAUAGUUGUGAAGUUAAUACUUCAUUUGAAGAAGUAUGAAAGGAUACAUAGAAAAAGCUGGGUACACACAAGUUAUGUCACAGUGAAUCAAACUAGGGUACACCAUUAUAUCCAAGGAAUAAAAAUACAUUUGAAAUAAUGGACUUCUUCCAAGAAACGUGCUCCUAAAAACGCACUGUUGUUUUCAGUCAAUAAAGUUAUGAUAAAGUUAUUGACAUAAAAUCAUUUGUGAAAGUUUAUGCAUUAAUGAAGGCAAUUAGCAGGAAUGACGUAGUCAAGAAGGCUAAUUUCAAACCCUUAUAAUGUAACAGGAAUAUGGAAAAAAGACUCGUCUAUUGUGAGUGCAAUUACAGAAUUUCAAAUUUCUAGCUUUACUGAAAUUUUAGAAAAACUCAAUUUUAGUCAUCAACUUUUAAGGGUGAUAUCUCGAAAGUGGUGGGCUGUGGAAAUUCUUCAUUACCAUAUAAAAUAGUUCAAGAGGUAUAAAUACGCAUAUUUACUACUACUAAAGUAUAAUUAUUGUGAUAACUACUAUAAGAAAUACUCUGUAAUAUUAUUAACACCAAAAAUAUAAAUAUUUACAAAAA
Molecule: long non-coding RNA, 901 nt
Organism: Diorhabda carinulata
Lineage: Eukaryota; Metazoa; Arthropoda; Insecta; Coleoptera; Chrysomelidae
Exons: 2
Source: RefSeq, a predicted model, not a curated record